RNAcentral lists this ribosomal RNA (965 nucleotides) under Sorex isodon (even-toothed shrew). RNAcentral's name for it is "partial 16S ribosomal RNA". It matches the Rfam family "Bacterial large subunit ribosomal RNA", at positions 981 to 2578 of the family's 2925-position model. The record is from RNAcentral. Lineage: Eukaryota; Metazoa; Chordata; Mammalia; Eulipotyphla; Soricidae.
CACUUAUAUCGUAAAUUUAACUGUUAAUCUAAAGGGGUACAGCCCUUUAGAAUAAGGAUACAACCUUAAUUAGAGAGUAAAUAUACUAAUAACCAUAGUUGGCCUAAAAGCAGCCAUCAAUUAAGAAAGCGUUCAAGCUCAACAAUAACUUACCUCUUAAUUCAACAAUCACCUAUUAACUCCUAAUUUACCACUGGACCAAUCUAUUAGCCAAUAGAAGAAAUACUGUUAAUAUGAGUAACAAGAUUUAUAUCUCCCAGCACAAGCUUAUAUCAGACCGAAUAAUAGCUGAUAGUUAACAGCCAAAUAAAUAUAAAUUUAUAUAAACCAUUUAUUUACCCACUGUUAAUCCAACACCGGUGUGCACUAAGGAAAGAUUAAAAGAAAUAAAAGGAACUCGGCAAACACAAACCCCGCCUGUUUACCAAAAACAUCACCUCUAGCAUCACUAGUAUUAGAGGCACUGCCUGCCCAGUGACAACUGUUAAACGGCCGCGGUAUCCUGACCGUGCAAAGGUAGCAUAAUCAUUUGUUCCUUAAAUAGGGACUUGUAUGAAUGGCCACACGAGGGUUUAACUGUCUCUUAUUUCUAAUCAGUGAAAUUGACCUUUCCGUGAAGAGGCGGAAAUAAUCCAAUAAGACGAGAAGACCCUAUGGAGCUUUAAUCAACCUAACCCAACAGAAUAGUAUUCGACUCCACCAAGGACCAACAAGCAUUCUAACUGGGUUAUAAAUUUCGGUUGGGGUGACCUCGGAGCACAAAAUAACCUCCGAGAAUUAUCCACUAAGACUAACAAGUCAAAGUGAAACUUUACAAAUUGAUCCAGUCUCACUGAUCAACGGAACAAGUUACCCUAGGGAUAACAGCGCAAUCCUAUUCUAGAGUCCCUAUCGACAAUAGGGUUUACGACCUCGAUGUUGGAUCAGGACAUCCCAAUGGUGCAGCAGCUAUUAAUGGUUCGUUU